RNAcentral lists this ribosomal RNA (463 nucleotides) under uncultured bacterium. RNAcentral's name for it is "bacterial SSU rRNA". It matches the Rfam family "Bacterial small subunit ribosomal RNA", at positions 44 to 489 of the family's 1533-position model. The record is from RNAcentral.
CGGCGUUACAAUGCAGAUCGAACGGAUAACUCGGGGGCAACCUGUGCGUACGAAGCUGGCGAAACGGGAUGAACCCCUUUUAAUCGGUAACGUUACCCAGAUAAUGGGGGAUAGCCCGGCGUAAAGCCGGAUUAAUACCGCAUACGACCUACGGGUGAAAGCGGGGGAUCGCAAGACCUCGCGCUAUUGGAGCGGCCGAUGUCAGAUUAGGUAGUUGGUGAGGCAAAGGCUCACCAAGCCUUCGAUCUGUAACUGGUCUGAGAGGACGACCAGCCACAUUGGGACUGAGACACGGCCCAGACUCCUACGGGAGGCAACAGUGGGGAAUUUUGGACAAUGGGCGCUAGCCUGAUCCAGCCAUGCCGCGUGCGGGAAGAAGGCCUUCAGGUUGUAAACCGCUUUUGUCAUGGAAGAACCGCCCCGGAUUAUUACCCUGGGGUUAAUGACCGGACCUGAAGCAAUA